Daphnia pulex (common water flea) is the source of this 905-nucleotide long non-coding RNA. RefSeq lists it as uncharacterized. The record is from RefSeq and is a predicted model, not a curated record. Lineage: Eukaryota; Metazoa; Arthropoda; Branchiopoda; Diplostraca; Daphniidae. The transcript has 2 exons.
UGAAAGUCAGCGUCGUCUGGUCUAUGUUUUCAUUUAAUUUUACACAGUCAAUAAGGCCUCAAACCCAAAAUUACCACUUAUGAUUAGAGUAAAAACAUUCUAAAAAUUUUUAAAAAGGUUGGUGGUGUCUGGUUGAAAACAAAUUGAGAGAUUAUUGACAACCAGCCAAUAUAGGCUACCUCAUUUUAUCGAUAGUGUUUCUUCUGGGAUAUCAAACCUCUAUUUUCAAGUAUGGAUAAAUUUUUAAUUAAAAAAAGCAAAGAAGUGUUGUCAUCUGGACCUUCAAGAAGUAUGAAACAAGCCCGUCUUCAUCAGCUUGGUGGAGUUGUGGUACUUGAAGACUUGGCAGCUGCCAACAAACAACUCUCAAAUCCUGAAGUAUCACCGGAAGAAAAAGUAUCUAUUUUGAAUAAAUUAAAAAACAAGAAGCCUGCAAAAGAAAUCCUGAAAUCUACUGGAAUUGGGAGAACCGUGCAUCGUCUUUGUAGAGAUAAGAACCCAGUAAUUUCAUCUACAGCUUCUGAAAUCUAUGAGUUCUGGAAGACUCACGUGCUACAUAUUCUCCGCCGGAAGCCUAUUGAAGUGGAAAGUGACGCAGAAACUCAACGCGGUCGAACCAGUGCAAAAAAAAUGAUUCAUCUAGCAUUAAAUGACUCAGUGAUUGCCGAAGAGAUUGAAAUUCAUGUUUUUAACAAGUGUAAAAAAAUUAUGAACCGCACCUACAAUCGUGUAAUAAGAAAAAUUCAUUUUUCUUUCAAAAACAAUGAAGAUCAAAGGCGACGAGUGAUAGAAAUGAAAAGUGAUUUGACGGAAUUUGUGGACGACAUGUACCAGGAUGUGAUAAAAGUGUAUGCAAAAUAAAGCGUGUUUUUUUAAUAAUUUUAAAUACACAAUUUUUAAAAUAA